Molecule: transfer RNA, 89 nt
Filed under: Candidatus Cloacimonadota bacterium
Lineage: Bacteria; Pseudomonadati; Candidatus Cloacimonadota
Description: tRNA-Ser
Rfam family: tRNA
About the family: Transfer RNA (tRNA) molecules are approximately 80 nucleotides in length. Their secondary structure includes four short double-helical elements and three loops (D, anti-codon, and T loops).
Source: RNAcentral
GGAGAGUUGCCGGAGCGGUUGAACGGGGCGGUCUCGAAAACCGUUGUACCUUCUGGGUACCCAGGGUUCGAAUCCCUGACUCUCCGCCA